UGUGAAUAUAUUUCAAUGUUUAAACCGUGCCUGACAAGUAUAAAGCGAUUCUAUGAGGAAUAUUAAUAGAAAACCGAGAGAGUCGGGAUUCAGCAGUACUAGGUUUACCGCCUGCCAUAAAUAGUUAUGGCGGCGGCCAGUCCACCAUGUCGGGUAUGUAACCAUUUACUAUCCCCUAAACGCCGAAGAAGCAUCUUUGGUAACACAUUUGGCGUAAUCAGUCAGUUAACCGAAGUUUUAGGAUACACUCCAAGCUCAAGUGACUGCUUAUCAAAGUAUGUUUGCGAUUAUUGUUUUGUAAGAUUGAGCAAGUUAGCCAAGGUCGAUUACGAUAUCGAGCAUUAUCUUGAUGCACUUAAUGCUUAAGAAAAAGAGACUCAGCCUUAUCAACGAUCUCAGAUCCCGAUCCCAACAGGAGUCAGGUCCUACUCUCCGUAGCCUACAGUCUGUUGCAAAUAGUUAUGGAACUGUUCAGACGGGACAACCUUGCCCUACUGUUCUGAAACCAGAAGUGAUCGAAAAAUCUUCAAACUGUAGGAGAGUUAGAAAGUCUAGGAAGUUUCACUCUACAGUGUAUAAGAAAAUUGCACCAAAGCAACAAACUGACACUACAACAAUAGAACCAGAAAAAAGCACAAAGGUCGUAGAGGUCAAAGUUAAUUUUACUCUGUUCUCACCUGAUCAGAUAAAAGAAGAGUUGAAUUAAACCCAUGGACUUUCACAGGCCCUUUAGCUAUUAUAAUGAUUUGAAACAAAUUUGAAUUUUUACUCUAUGCAUGGGACCUAUGGUAAAAGAUUCAGACAGAUGCUGGACAUCCUUUUAAAGAAUUUCCGUUUUACUUCAUGUAAAUAACUGAAAUUGUGGUCUUACGUUUAUUUUCUUAAACAUUGUAUUAAAAUCAGAGUGCAUUACUGUACUUUAUAUAAACUACAGAGAGAAGACUUUUACAUACCAUUGAACACCUAAUUUGUGAUAAAUGAA
Long non-coding RNA from Saccostrea echinata, 982 nucleotides. RefSeq lists it as uncharacterized. The record is from RefSeq and is a predicted model, not a curated record. The transcript is spliced from 3 exons. NCBI's taxonomy places the organism in Eukaryota, Metazoa, Mollusca, Bivalvia, Ostreida, Ostreidae.